UGGCGCAAGCCCGAGUUGUAAUUUGUAGAGGAUGUUUCUGGGCAGCGGCCGGUCUAAGUUCCUUGGAACAGGACGUCAUAGAGGGUGAGAAUCCCGUAUGUGACCGGUUGGCACCCUCCACGAAGCUCCUUCGACGAGUCGAGUUGUUUGGGAAUGCAGCUCUAAAUGGGAGGUAAAUUUCUUCUAAAGCUAAAUACCGGCCAGAGACCGAUAGCGCACAAGUAGAGUGAUCGAAAGAUGAAAAGUACUUUGGAAAGAGAGUUAAAAAGCACGUGAAAUUGUUGAAAGGGAAGCGCUUGCGACCAGACUUGUCCGGAGUGUUCCGCCGGUCUUCUGACCGGUCUACUCGCUCCGGACAGGCCAGCAUCAUCUGAGGCCGCCGGAUAAAGGUGCGAGGAAUGUAGCUCCCCCUCGGGGGAGUGUUAUAGCCUCGCGCGCAAUACGGUGCGCCUCGGGUGAGGUUCGCGCUUCGGCUCGGAUGCUGGCGUAAUGGGUGCAAGCGGCCCGUCUUGAAACACGGACCAAGGAGUCGACCAUCUGUGCGAGUGUUCGGGUAUUAAACCCCUACGCGGAAUGAAAGUGAACGGAGGUGGGAACCUUUUAGGUGCACCAUCGACCGAUCCUGAUGUCUUCGGAUGGAUUUGAGUAAGAGCAUAGCUGGUCGGACCCGAAAGAUGGUGAACUAUGCCUGAAUAGGGUGAAGCCAGAGGAAACUCUGGUGGAGGCUCGCAGCGGUUCUGACGUGCAAAUCGAUCGUCAAAUUUGGGUAUAGGGGCGAAAGACUAAUCGAACCAUUGACUACUAGGUGGUUGAUAUAUUACAGGAUACAGGUGGUCGAGCAUCACCAACACCGUCAAAGUGCGGGGAGUCACCGAGGUUUGGGGGACCGCCGGCGCCCAGAAACGGGCGGCCGGCGAGGCGAUUCAACCGAUUGCCGGACGGUCCCAUCGAAAUGGAGCGACCCGCAGCCAAGUCCGCAGGCACCCCCGGGGGUGACCCGGACGCAGUCCACAGACUCGACGUCGGUGGGCCGCCGAUCGACUCGGCG
Molecule: ribosomal RNA, 1048 nt
Filed under: Brunneomycosphaerella laburni
Lineage: Eukaryota; Fungi; Ascomycota; Dothideomycetes; Capnodiales
Description: LSU rRNA
Rfam family: Eukaryotic large subunit ribosomal RNA
Source: RNAcentral